RNAcentral lists this ribosomal RNA (521 nucleotides) under uncultured bacterium. RNAcentral describes it as "bacterial SSU rRNA". It matches the Rfam family "Bacterial small subunit ribosomal RNA", at positions 8 to 526 of the family's 1533-position model. The record is from RNAcentral.
AGAGUUUGAUCAUGGCUCAGAAUGAACGCUGGCGGCGUGCCUAAUACAUGCAAGUCGAACGUGAAAAGGGGCAACCCUUAGUAAAGUGGCGCACGGGUGAGUAACACGUAGGUAAUCUGCCUUUCUGUGGGGAAUAACACAGCGAAAGUUGUGCUAAUGCCGCAUACGUUAGUAAUAAGAAAGAGGCCGUCGCAAGAGGUCUCGCAGAAAGAAGAGCCUGCGUCCUAUUAGCUAGUUGGUGGUGUAAUGGACCACCAAGGCUACGAUAGGUAUCCGGUCUGAGAGGAUGAUCGGACACACUGGAACUGAGACACGGUCCAGACUCCUACGGGAGGCAGCAGUAGGGAAUAUUGCGCAAUGGGGGAAACCCUGACGCAGCAACGCCGCGUGAGUGAGGAAGGUCUUCGGAUUGUAAAACUCUUUUAUCAGGGAAAAAUGUCUUAGUGGUUAAUACCCAUUAGGAGUGAUGGUACCUGAGGAAUAAGCACCGGCUAACUUCGUGCCAGCCGCCGCGGUAAUUC